This 842-nucleotide unclassified non-coding RNA is filed under the name Hevea brasiliensis (rubber tree). The record is from RNAcentral. Lineage: Eukaryota; Viridiplantae; Streptophyta; Magnoliopsida; Malpighiales; Euphorbiaceae.
GAAUUCAAGAACAAGAGCAAAUUUAUUGAAAGAAAACAAAAGCAUGCAUGCAUUUGACUGCAAUUUUAACUGUCAAAGCUAGAAGUACCCAACAACAACAAAAAUGAAAGCAAAUACAGGAGGGUACUAAAUGGAGACAAGUUUCAUAUUUUAAUAUAAGAACAAUGUAUCAAAUUGAUGCUUAAAAUCCAUGAGAAGGUAUGUGAAAGAAGACAAAAAUUUCAAAAUCUUGAUGGAAUGGGGAAUAUUUGGACGAUGAUCUGUCAGCCAUCUUCUUCCAUCUUGGAUCCCUUAUCUCAGCACAAUCAGACAGUUCUGGAUCAAAAGGAAAAACUUUACAUUAUUGGCAUUAACACAUAUUAAAACUUAAAGAUUUGGAGAUUAUCAAACUCCUGGGUUUGCACUGCUGAGCAUACCCGGAGACAACGACCGGGAGCUCCUAGAAUCGAUGCCGAGGCAUGAGGUUAAUCGAGCUGAAGACACCGUCGAGAUCAGGGGAAGCAGAGAUUGGAGAGAACCCAACUGAGGAAUUGACCUGAAACUCGACACCCAACAGUCAAAAGAACUGAUUUUUUUAAUCAUUCGAAGAGAACCCGUUGGAGAAAACGACCUUGAAAAUGUAGAAGAGCGAGACGAAAGCCGUGAAGAAGGUAUGGGGUUGGGUUUAAGGGUGGGUUUGUUCACAGCGGAUUUGAGCAGAGAAAGACUCGACCUUGAGAGAGAUCUGCAGCGAGAUGCCAUUUUCCAAAAUGGCAAAACAGACAAAUGUUAAAUUUACGGUUUUCGGAGAGACAAAAUCAUUGGGAAUUUCGGGCUUGCGAUUGUAUAGCACUGGGUUUAGG